UACGGGGGGAGCAAGCGUUGUUCGGAUUUACUGGGCGUAAAGGGCGCGUAGGCGGUCGUGACAAGUCACUUGUGAAAUCUCCGGGCUUAACUCGGAACGGUCAAGUGAUACUGUCGGACUAGAGUACAGAAGGGGCAACUGGAAUUCUCGGUGUAGCGGUGAAAUGCGUAGAUAUCAGGAGGAACACCGAUGGCGAAGGCAGCUCUCUGGGCCCUAUCUGACGCUGAGGUGCGAAAGCGUGGGGAGCGAACGGG
Molecule: ribosomal RNA, 254 nt
Filed under: uncultured bacterium
Lineage: Bacteria
Description: partial 16S ribosomal RNA
Rfam family: Bacterial small subunit ribosomal RNA
Source: RNAcentral